Molecule: long non-coding RNA, 1299 nt
Filed under: Mus musculus (house mouse)
Lineage: Eukaryota; Metazoa; Chordata; Mammalia; Rodentia; Muridae
Description: RIKEN cDNA 4933426B08 gene
Source: RNAcentral
GUUACCUAUAACAUUGUAAAGGGAGAGGCGGCCUACUCAUUUUGACUUAGCACCAGGUGAUGAUGUGUAUGUCAUACCCAAAGGGACUUGGGCUUUGACUCUGAAUAGGAUCCCAGUUUAUGGUGGGAUUCCACUCUCACACCAAGCAAGGAAGCCAGAGGAAGGACUCUUCCCCUUGCCCCCAGGCUGAAGAGCAAAGUGUGAAACCACCCAACAGUCUUUGGAAACAGGAAAAAGACAGAGAAAGGAAUCCAGCCCAAAGGUCCUCCUUCCUGGUUAUGCCUUGGCUUUUCCAGAGGCCCUGUGUGACUGCGCGCUGAGAAACUCGCAGGAUAUUGUGCUGGUUGGUGCUUUAAACUAAAACCUAACAGCAGCCACAGAUCCAAUUAAAAGAGCUUCCUUAGUACUUGUCCUGGCGCAGGUUUAUUUACACACAUAGCAAGCACUUCAGGAUAUCAACUCUGUGUAGACAGCAGCCCAGGAAAACGCCAGUCUUUUUGCCCUCACACGGAGAGCUGAAGCCCUCUGUCCCAGAGUCUUCUCAGGACUCAGGAUUGUUGGCCUUGGCACUGACCAGCAGAGCCCGAGACGUUUGUGAUGUGGGCACCCAAGCACCGGGGAUGUGAUGGGCUUCUGUAUUUCAGCAUGGGUAAUGUGGACAAAUUGAACUUUAACGCUCCUGAAACACUGGGAAUUGUGACUUCCACGGGAUUGACCAGGGCCAGGAGGGGCUAUGCCUAGCACUGUCACCACGGGUGGGGCCACAGCUCUGUAACGCUCCUUCUGGUUCUUGGCAAACCGUGUGUUUGUCAGAAGCUGCUUUAUGGUUUCUAGAGUUUUGUUUCGUCUAUGAUUUCUGUGCUAUUGUGGGGACUGUGCUGUGCCUACCCAGUAGCUGGACAGUUUUAUCUACAUUGAUUGCCAUGCUACUGUAAGAUUGAGCUAUCUAUUAUCUAUCAUCCAUCUAUAAUCUAUUGUCUAUUUAUUAUCUUUCAUCCAUCUAGCAUCUAUCUACUUUCUACCUGUCAUCUAUUAAUCUAUCUUCCAUCUAUCAUCUAUUUAUUUAUCUAUUUAUCAUCUAUCACCCAUCUACCUACCAUCUACUUUUCUAUCUAUCAUCUACCUAUCAUCUAUAAUCAUCUAUCUACCUAUCUAUCUAUCUAUCUAUCUAUCUAUCUAUCUAUCUAUCUAUCUAUCUAUCUAUCUGUUAUCAUCAUCUUACUAUGGACUCAUAGAUUCCAAUUUUAUUAAAUGGUUUUAUAGUUUCAUGCUACAUGUAUAAAUAUUUGUUUAUAUUUU